AUGUGGUGUGUGGUUUAUGUGUGGUGUGUGUGCAGUGUGUGGAUGUUGCUCACGACAUUUAGAGAGGAGGUGACUUGCCAGACUCUUGGAAGUGUGGGGGAGGCUGCAAGCUCAGCAAUGGUUUCCUGGGACAGGGGAGGCAGCUGUGACUCUGAGAAGUGUCAUUUCUCCAGACCAGGGGACCCAGGUCCUUCCUCCUGCACCCGGUGGCCUGUGCAUCCCAGCGCAAGGCAUGUGCCAAGCAGACUGAGACCUAUCUGGGCAUUCUGCUGGGGAUGAGGCCCCCAGGACUGCAGAGAGCAGUGUGGAGUUUCUCAGCAUGCUGGAGACUGAAGGUCACAUCAGCUGCGUGGGAUGAUGACUCAACUUAGAUUCCAUUUGCUUUUGGAGAAAUGAUGAGAUCCAGGGACUGAACUCAGAACCUUGUGCUUGUGAGGCAGGGAAGAGUCAGAACUUGUAUGGUGCCAGACUCAGUGAAUGAGGUGGAUGAAGACACAACGAUACUUUUAUGAGCCGUCCUUCACCAGCCUGGAUGGUACCUGGCAGCAGCUUUCACAGGAUUUUUUUUUUUUUUUUUGGUACCAGGGAUCGAACUUGGGACCCUACACUUGCUAGGCAGGCGGCCUUUCACAGGAUUUUUAAUCACAACUUAUAAAGGCAUGAAAGAGGAGUUCCAGAACUGCUUCAGAAAGUGGCAGGAAAGAUGAGAUAAAAUGAAUUUAACAUAAGGGAGGGUAUUUUGAAGGGUAUAAAUGGUAAUAUGUUUUUUACUAUAAUCAUUUUUUAAAUUAAACAAUCACCAUUGAUCACGUCUUGUGUCAAGUUCCUAGUGGUGCUGAAGCUGCUGGUCUGGGGAACACACUUUGAGAUCAGUCUGGUGUGUUUCCAUGCAGGGUAUGACAGCUCUGCCAUGAAGAACACAUGCUCUCUCCAUACAUGAGCCUCCAGCCUCCUGGCAUCAAUGGUGGGUGGC
This is a non-coding RNA of Heterocephalus glaber (naked mole-rat), 973 nucleotides long. The record is from RefSeq and is a predicted model, not a curated record. Lineage: Eukaryota; Metazoa; Chordata; Mammalia; Rodentia; Bathyergidae.